Small nucleolar RNA from Prosopis cineraria, 109 nucleotides. RefSeq annotates it as small nucleolar RNA snoR97. Lineage: Eukaryota; Viridiplantae; Streptophyta; Magnoliopsida; Fabales; Fabaceae. The record is from RefSeq and is a predicted model, not a curated record. The transcript has a single exon.
CCUCACUAACUGGAUCAGAGUCUGAAAAACUUAAAAAUUUUCAUGUUGUCAUCUACUUUCGUCUAUUGUUUGUCCCACGAGAAUGGAGUUAAAUAACAGCAUUAAAUUC